RNAcentral lists this ribosomal RNA (433 nucleotides) under uncultured bacterium. Its description in RNAcentral is "partial 16S ribosomal RNA". It matches the Rfam family "Bacterial small subunit ribosomal RNA", at positions 29 to 507 of the family's 1533-position model. The record is from RNAcentral.
AACGAACGCUGGCGGCAUGCCUAACACAUGCAAGUCGAACGAGACCUUCGGGUCUAGUGGCGCCCGGGUGCGUAACGCGUGGGAACCUGCCCUUAGGUUCGGAAUAACUCCCCGAAAGGGGUGCUAAUACCGGAUAAUGUCUUCGGACCAAAGAUUUAUCGCGUUUGGAUGGGCCCGCGUUGGAUUAGCUAGUUGGUAGUGUAAAAGCCUACCAAGGCGACGAUCCAUAGCUGGUCUGAGAGGAUGAUCAGCCACACUGGGACUGAGACACGGCCCAGACUCCUACGGGAGGCAGCAGUGGGGAAUAUUGGACAAUGGGCGAAAGCCUGAUCCAGCAAUGCCGCGUGAGUGAUGAAGGCCUUAGGGUUGUAAAGCUCUUUUACCCGGGAUGAUAAUGACAGUACCGGGCGAAUAAGCUCCGGCUAACUCCGUG